RNAcentral lists this ribosomal RNA (465 nucleotides) under uncultured bacterium. Its description in RNAcentral is "partial 16S ribosomal RNA". It matches the Rfam family "Bacterial small subunit ribosomal RNA", at positions 28 to 507 of the family's 1533-position model. The record is from RNAcentral.
GACGAACGCUGGCGGCGUGCUUAACACAUGCAAGUCGAACGGAAAGGCCCUGCUUGCAGGGUACUCGAGUGGCGAACGGGCGAGUAACACGUGGGUGAUCUGCCCUGCACUUCGGGAUAAGCCUGGGAAACUGGGUCUAAUACCGGAUAGGAGCUACUUUUAGCGUGAUGGUUGGAAAGUUUUUUCGGUGUAGGACGAGCUCGCGGCCUAUCAGCUUGUUGGUGGGGUAAUGGCCUACCAACGCGGCGACGGGUAGCCGGCCUGAGAGGGUGGACGGCCACAUUGGGACUGAGAUACGGCCCAGACGCCUACGGUAGGCAGCAGUGGGGAAUAUUGCACAAUGGGCGCAAGCCUGAUGCAGCGACGCCGCGUGGGGGAUGACGGCCUUCGGGUUGUAAACUCCUUUCGCUAGGGACGAAGCUUUUUGUGACGGUACCUAGAGAAGAAGCACCGGCUAACUACGUG